GUCCUGGUGGGAGACUAGGCCUGAGUCCUCCAGGUACCUGAAAACUUCCUUAAGCUGCAGUUGCUGUGCCGGCUUCCUAGGACAUUCAUCAGCUGGUCCUGUCACCCUGCCAGAACCCAUGAUAUUUGGCAGAUAGAAUCUUUGUACUCCAAGACUAUAGGAUAUGUAUUGGAAAUAGAUAUACUGUAUCUGGUUGUUAAAAAGAAGUCGAACUUCACCAAAGUGUCAGAUAUUGUGUUUGAUUGUAAUGGCUAAUGAAACACCAUUCAAAUCUAGGUCAUCAAUCAGGGUAGCCAUUAGCCAUUUAUCCUUGACUCUAGACCCAGGGAGAUAAGUUCUCAG
This 342-nucleotide long non-coding RNA is filed under the name Rattus norvegicus (Norway rat). Its description in RNAcentral is "long non-coding RNA NONRATT033284". Lineage: Eukaryota; Metazoa; Chordata; Mammalia; Rodentia; Muridae. The record is from RNAcentral.